This 96-nucleotide microRNA precursor is filed under the name Choloepus hoffmanni (Hoffmann's two-fingered sloth). Lineage: Eukaryota; Metazoa; Chordata; Mammalia; Pilosa; Megalonychidae. The record is from RNAcentral.
GGCAGGGUGUGGUGGGGCAGCUGGUGUUGUGAAUCAGGCCGUAGCCAAUCCGAGAAACGGCUACUUCACAACACCAGGGUCGCACCGCACCGCAGG